RNAcentral lists this ribosomal RNA (253 nucleotides) under uncultured bacterium. Its description in RNAcentral is "partial 16S ribosomal RNA". It matches the Rfam family "Bacterial small subunit ribosomal RNA", at positions 524 to 776 of the family's 1533-position model. The record is from RNAcentral.
UACAGAGACUGCAAGCGUUGUUCGGAUUGACUGGGCGUAAAGGGCGUGUAGGCGGUCGGCCAAGUCUGAUGUGAAAGCCCGAGGCUCAGCCUCGGAAGUGCGUCGGAAACUAGUCGGCUGGAGCGCGAUAGAGGAGGGUGGAAUUCCUGGUGUAGCGGUGAAAUGCGUAGAUAUCAGGAGGAACACCGGCGGCGAAGGCGGCCCUCUGGAUCGUUGCUGACGCUGAUACGCGAAAGCGUGGGGAGCAAACAGG